This 28-nucleotide small RNA is filed under the name Bombyx mori (domestic silkworm). RNAcentral's name for it is "ovarian small RNA-16187". The record is from RNAcentral. Lineage: Eukaryota; Metazoa; Arthropoda; Insecta; Lepidoptera; Bombycidae.
GAUUCGCAAACUGCCUUUCCAGCGUCUC